This 94-nucleotide transfer RNA is filed under the name Candidatus Wallbacteria bacterium. RNAcentral describes it as "tRNA-Asp". It matches the Rfam family "tRNA". From Rfam's summary of the family: Transfer RNA (tRNA) molecules are approximately 80 nucleotides in length. Their secondary structure includes four short double-helical elements and three loops (D, anti-codon, and T loops). Lineage: Bacteria; Candidatus Walliibacteriota. The record is from RNAcentral.
GGAGGCGUGGCAGAGCGGUCUAAUGCACCCGGUUGUCACCCGGGCAAAGGCUACCUCGCGUGGUCUUUCGUGGGUUCGAAUCCCACCGCCUCCA